Molecule: ribosomal RNA, 253 nt
Filed under: uncultured bacterium
Lineage: Bacteria
Description: partial 16S ribosomal RNA
Rfam family: Bacterial small subunit ribosomal RNA
Source: RNAcentral
UACGUAGGUGGCGAGCGUUGUCCGGAUUUACUGGGCGUAAAGGGAGCGUAGGCGGACUUUUAAGUGAGAUGUGAAAUACUCGGGCUCAACUUGAGUGCUGCAUUUCAAACUGGAAGUCUCGAGUGCAGGAGAGGAGAAUGGAAUUCCUAGUGUAGCGGUGAAAUGCGUAGAGAUUAGGAAGAACACCAGUGGCGAAGGCGAUUCUCUGGACUGUAACUGACGCUGAGGCUCGAAAGCGUGGGGAGCAAACAGG